UGCAGUAUAGCCAAGCGGUUAAGGCGUAGGAGUUGUAAUCCUUUAACUCUGGUUCGAUUCCAGAUUCUGCGA
RNAcentral lists this transfer RNA (72 nucleotides) under Bacillota bacterium. RNAcentral describes it as "tRNA-Thr". It matches the Rfam family "tRNA". From Rfam's summary of the family: Transfer RNA (tRNA) molecules are approximately 80 nucleotides in length. The record is from RNAcentral. Lineage: Bacteria; Bacillati; Bacillota.